RNAcentral lists this ribosomal RNA (441 nucleotides) under uncultured bacterium. RNAcentral describes it as "bacterial SSU rRNA". It matches the Rfam family "Bacterial small subunit ribosomal RNA", at positions 28 to 451 of the family's 1533-position model. The record is from RNAcentral.
GAUGAACGCUGGCGGCGUGCUUAACACAUGCAAGUCGAGCGAAGCACUUUGGAAAGAUUCUUCGGAUGAUUUCCUUUGUGACUGAGCGGCGGACGGGUGAGUAACGCGUGGGUAACCUGCCUCAUACAGGGGGAUAACAGUUAGAAAUGACUGCUAAUACCGCAUAAGACCACGGUACCGCAUGGUACAGUGGUAAAAACUCCGGUGGUAUGAGAUGGACCCGCGUCUGAUUAGGUAGUUGGUGGGGUAACGGCCUACCAAGCCGACGAUCAGUAGCCGACCUGAGAGGGUGACCGGCCACAUUGGGACUGAGACACGGCCCAGACUCCUACGGGAGGCAGCAGUGGGGAAUAUUGCACAAUGGAGGAAACUCUGAUGCAGCGACGCCGCGUGAAGGAUGAAGUAUUUCGGUAUGUAAACUUCUAUCAGCAGGGAAGAAAA